GAGGAAAGCUUUACUGCCUUCAGGUUGUCUCAUCAACAAAUCUUUCUCUCCACACCCCAACUGCUUUUCUGAUCAGAAUCUUUGAUUCCCUACAGGAUCAAGGGGCAGAAAUGGGGAGCAGAUCCCUCUGAUGAAAGUGCGAUCUACAGUGUUGUGAAGAAACCUGAGCUCCUCUCAAAGGGAGACACCAAACCUGACUAUGAGAACAUAGUGAACCCGAAUGAAGAAGAACUGCACUACUCUUCCUUGGUGAACCUCGCCCGACGGCCCCAGCCCACCUUCACAGACUCAGAAACGGAUUCCGACUCAGAGGACAGCAUCCACUAUGCAGCCCUGAAGCAUUGAUUCUCUUGGGACUCACAGAGACCAGAAACGGCCCCCAAGCUCUUUCCACUCAGUGGCACAGUAUACGUGGGGACGCUUCCGAUCUAUGCUAUGGCUUGCUCUUAGAAGCCAAGAAUAGCAGCACUUGAGGAUAAGGAUCUGUCUGCACUGGGAGUAUGAAUGUAAACAUGCACUGGAUUUUGUUCUUGCAGGAAAGAAUGGAACAUGUGAAAGUGUUUCUUCCCUGCUGUGUGAAGUUUUGAGGGUUUAUGUUUUUUCAUCAUUAUAUCACCUUUUUUUGCAAA
This is a non-coding RNA of Pogona vitticeps (central bearded dragon), 629 nucleotides long. The record is from RefSeq and is a predicted model, not a curated record. NCBI's taxonomy places the organism in Eukaryota, Metazoa, Chordata, Lepidosauria, Squamata, Agamidae.